Small nuclear RNA from Hyaena hyaena (striped hyena), 103 nucleotides. NCBI's taxonomy places the organism in Eukaryota, Metazoa, Chordata, Mammalia, Carnivora, Hyaenidae. The record is from RefSeq and is a predicted model, not a curated record.
GCUUGCUUUGGCAGCACAUAGUAAACUUGGAACGAUACAGAGAAGAUUAGCAUGGCCCCUGCACAAUGAUGACAUGUGGGUUCAUGAAGUGUCCCAUAUUUUU